CAGUCGAGCGAACAGACGAGGAGCUUGCUCCUCUGACGUUAGCGGCGGACGGGUGAGUAACACGUGGAUAACCUACCUAUAAGACUGGGAUAACUUCGGGAAACCGGAGCUAAUACCGGAUAAUAUAUUGAACCGCUUCAAUAGUGAAAGACGGUUUUGCUGUCACUUAUAGAUGGAUCCGCGCCGCAUUAGCUAGUUGGUAAGGUAACGGCUUACCAAGGCAACGAUGCGUAGCCGACCUGAGAGGGUGAUCGGCCACACUGGAACUGAGAGUCCAGACUCCUACGGGAGGCAGCAGUAGGGAAUCUUCCGCAAUGGGCGAAAGCCUGACGGAGCAACGCCGCGUGAGUGAUGAAGGUCUUCGGAUCGUAAAACUCUGUUAUUAGGGAAGAACAAAUGUGUAAGUAAGCACGUCUUGACGGUACCUAAUCAGAAAGCCACGGCUAACUACGUGCCAGCAGCCGCGGUAAUACGUAGGUGGCAAGCGUUAUCCGGAAUUAUUGGGCGUAAAGCGCGCGUAGGCGGUUUUUUAAGUCUGAUGUGACCACGGCUCAACCGUGGAGGGUCAUUGGAAACUGGAAAACUUGAGUGCAGAAGAGGAAAGUGGAAUUCCAUGUGUAGCGGUGAAAUGCGCAGAGAUAUGGAGGAACACCAGUGGCGAAGGCGACUUUCUGGUCUGUUGACGCUGAUGUGCGAAAGCGUGGGGAUCAAACAGGAUUAGAUACCCUGGUAGUCCACGCCGUAAACGAUGAGUGCUAAGUGUUAGGGGGUUUCCGCCCCUUAGUGCUGCAGCUAACGCAUUAAGCACUCCGCCUGGGGUACGACCGCAAGGUUGAAACUCAAAGGAAUUGACGGGGACCCGCACAAGCGGUGGAGCAUGUGGUUUAUUCGAAGCAACGCGAAGAACCUUACCAAAUCUUGACAUCCUCUGACCCCUCUAGAGAUAGAGUUUUCCCCUUCGGGGGACAGAGUGACAGGUGGUGCAUGGUUGUCGUCAGCUCGUGUCGUGAGAUGUUGGGUUAAGUCGCAACGAGCGCAACCCUUAAGCUUAGUUGCCAUCAUUAAGUUGGGCACUCUAAGUUGACUGCCGGUGAAACCGGAGGAAGGUGGGGAUG
This 1115-nucleotide ribosomal RNA is filed under the name Staphylococcus epidermidis. Its description in RNAcentral is "bacterial SSU rRNA". It matches the Rfam family "Bacterial small subunit ribosomal RNA", at positions 59 to 1181 of the family's 1533-position model. Lineage: Bacteria; Bacillati; Bacillota; Bacilli; Caryophanales; Staphylococcaceae. The record is from RNAcentral.